GAUAGGUGCCAGCAGCCGCGGUAAUACGUAGGGUCCAAGCGUUAAUCGGAAUUACUGGGCGUAAAGCGUGCGCAGGCGGUUGUGCAAGACCGAUGUGAAAUCCCCGAGCUUAACUUGGGAAUUGCAUUGGUGACUGCACGGCUAGAGUGUGUCAGAGGGGGGUAGAAUUCCACGUGUAGCAGUGAAAUGCGUAGAGAUGUGGAGGAAUACCGAUGGCGAAGGCAGCCCCCUGGGAUAACACUGACGCUCAUGCACGAAAGCGUGGGGAGCAAACAGGAUUAGAUACCCUGGUAGUCCACGCCCUAAACGAUGUCAACUAGUUGUUGGGGAUUCAUUUCCUUAGUAACGUAGCUAACGCGUGAAGUUGACCGCCUGGGGAGUACGGUCGCAAGAUUA
Molecule: ribosomal RNA, 396 nt
Filed under: uncultured bacterium
Lineage: Bacteria
Description: bacterial SSU rRNA
Rfam family: Bacterial small subunit ribosomal RNA
Source: RNAcentral